UACAGGGGGGGCAAGCGUUGUUCGGAAUUACUGGGCGUAAAGGGCUCGUAGGUGGCCAACUAAGUCAGACGUGAAAUCCCUCAGCUUAACUGGGGAACUGCGUCUGAUACUGGAUGGCUUGAGUUUGGGAGAGGGAUGCGGAAUUCCAGGUGUAGCGGUGAAAUGCGUAGAUAUCUGGAGGAACACCGGUGGCGAAGGCGGCAUCCUAGACCAACACUGACACUGAGGAGCGAAAGCCAGGGUAGCAAACGGG
This 253-nucleotide ribosomal RNA is filed under the name uncultured bacterium. RNAcentral describes it as "partial 16S ribosomal RNA". It matches the Rfam family "Bacterial small subunit ribosomal RNA", at positions 524 to 776 of the family's 1533-position model. The record is from RNAcentral.